GCCGGGGUGGUGGAACUGGUAGACACAGGGGACUUAAAAUCCCCCGGCCCCAUAGGCUGUGCGGGUUCGAGUCCCGCCCCCGGCACC
RNAcentral lists this transfer RNA (87 nucleotides) under subsurface metagenome. RNAcentral describes it as "tRNA-Leu". It matches the Rfam family "tRNA". From Rfam's summary of the family: Transfer RNA (tRNA) molecules are approximately 80 nucleotides in length. The record is from RNAcentral.